UUCAAAUUGAAUUAAAAGAACUAACAAAAAGGCUUGUUUGAUUUAAAGCCCCAACUUCGGCAAUAAAAGAACGCGCAUACUUCACGCUGUUCAGUCUUUGAUACGUUCUCUCAACGUUCCCCUAGACGAACUUAAGAAUGAAUGAAUAGCAUUUUUUACGCACGAUUUUCUUUGACGCUGUUCCAAUUAUUUGUUGAGUCCGAUCACCGCAUUUGGUCCAGUUUUGAUUUGCAAAGGCAUCAUGCGACAUACGAGUAGUGUGUUUUGUAGGGCGGGCAUUUAUGCAAAUUUUGAAAUUCCUUUGCCUGCACGUGGUAACCGGACAUGCGCAUUUCUAGAUCGACGUUUGCCUCGCCGUGGAAGCUUGCAACGUUUCGUCACUUGCUGCUCUGACCUUGCGUCACGAAACAUCUCCCGUGAGAGCAUCCAAAACGUGUCACUUUCAACAGUUUCAACGAGAGAGGUGUAAUGAUUAAACAGUCACCACGUCUCCAUGUUCCAGGCCACCACUGUAACAGGAGUGUAGACUGCAAUCUCCUCCAGUGAAAAGGCUACUAGUAGAGACUAAUAGAGUAGUAGAGACUCAUUGAUCCCAAGUUGCAAGGUAAAACAUAAUUGUUAAAGUAGCUCCUUAUCCCAUAUUUUGGAAAUGU
This is a long non-coding RNA of Acanthaster planci (crown-of-thorns starfish), 653 nucleotides long. The record is from RefSeq and is a predicted model, not a curated record. NCBI's taxonomy places the organism in Eukaryota, Metazoa, Echinodermata, Asteroidea, Valvatida, Acanthasteridae.